UACGUAGGGCGCAAGCGUUGUCCGGAAUUAUUGGGCGUAAAGAGCUCGUAGGCGGCCCGUUAAGUCAGUGGUGAAAGCCUCCAGCUCAACUGGAGAACUGCCAUUGAUACUGACGGGCUUGAGUACAGACGAGGUUGGCGGAAUUGAUUGUGUAGCGGUGAAAUGCAUAGAUACAAUCAAGAACUCCGAUUGCGUAGGCAGCUAACUAGGCUGUAACUGACGCUGAGGCACGAAAGCGUGGGGAGCGAACAGG
RNAcentral lists this ribosomal RNA (253 nucleotides) under uncultured bacterium. Its description in RNAcentral is "partial 16S ribosomal RNA". It matches the Rfam family "Bacterial small subunit ribosomal RNA", at positions 524 to 776 of the family's 1533-position model. The record is from RNAcentral.